CUCAUUUUACGUUCGCGCCAGGAUUAAGAAAGGGUUUUCACAGCUGACCCAGGAUUAAGAAAGUUUUACGUGUAGACCCAGGAUUUAGAAAGAUUCAACAAGUGGGCUCCAGGAUUAAAGCUGACAGGCGGCGACUGGUCGAGCGCACCGCGCAACUGGCGACGGUGCAGCUGAGCUCCCGGGUGCUCCCUAUUGCUGGUCGGCACGUAAAAAAGUUUUCUCGGGGGGUUGGGAUUAGAGAGGUGUCGGCAUCAGGAAAGGAGAGGAGAAGGGGUGGAGAGAGACGAGACCGCUUUGUCCCCUCUAGCUGCCGCCGCCAGGCCACUCUUCUCCGUCCGCCGGUAGCAUCCGCGAACAGGCCGCCGCCGCGGCGAUCCUACCGCGGGCACGUAGCCGCUGGACCUCUAGGAGGAGGUGCUAUGCCUCGUGUUCUCCUCCAAAAAUGGCAUCUUUAGUUGAUACCACCUAAAAAGACGCCUAAACCGGCUAGCUUCUGCAUACAGCUACCAUUUCAACGAGACAAGCUACCAACGCUUCAUCUAUGUACCAGAGGAGAGACCGAGUGACUAAAAUACGUCGUUGACCCUAUAUCACUGGUUAGAUUCGUACAAUAAAUGACCAAUGACGGACCUUUCUUAAAUCGGCUGCCUGACGCCUAACACCUGACACUGUGACUGUGAAACGUGUACUGUCGUCAACAAGGUUUUAAGGUCAACAAAGUCAACAAACAACUAGUGUUUCUAUACCGGAAACUGUUACAUUACCUACUAUAAGUACAAUCACCAUGUGGACUCGAUGGAGAACAUGAUUCGGGAUUUAGAGUACCCAAAUCGUCACCUUAUUCUCCUUCAGGGUCCAAAUUCCACUUUCGAGUGUUUCCGUCUAACUUGGUUACAGUACGUCCGUCGUCGUUACUUCCCUCAUCGUCACAAGGUGGUCACCCUGAUUUACAACCUGUACUCGAAUCUUCUUCGUCCUCCUUUGAACACCAUGUUCUUCUUUAGGGGUUACUUUUACUGUUACUGUCACUAUCACUACUGUCACUUACCCUAAGUCUGACCCAUCUGAGACUGUUACUUCAUCCGUUUCUACUACUACUAGAUAUACUUCUUACCCAACUACUUUUUAAACUC
RNAcentral lists this ribosomal RNA (1133 nucleotides) under Triticum aestivum (bread wheat). Its description in RNAcentral is "partial small subunit ribosomal RNA". Lineage: Eukaryota; Viridiplantae; Streptophyta; Magnoliopsida; Poales; Poaceae. The record is from RNAcentral.